AGCAGUAGCCGCGGGAAUACGAAGGGGGCUAGCGUUGUUCGGAUUUACUGGGCGUAAAGCGCGCGCAGGCGGAUAGGUCAGUCUGUCUUAAAAGUUCGGGGCUUAACCCCGUGAUGGGAUGGAAACUGCCAAUCUAGAGUAUCGGAGAGGAAAGUGGAAUUCCUAGUGUAGCGGUGAAAUGCGUAGAUAUUAGGAAGAACACCAGUGGCGAAGGCGACUUUCUGGACGAAAACUGACGCUGAGGCGCGAAAGCCAGGGGAGCGAACGGGAUUAGAGACCCGUGUAGUCCCUGUCUCUUAUACC
This 303-nucleotide ribosomal RNA is filed under the name uncultured bacterium. RNAcentral describes it as "partial 16S ribosomal RNA". It matches the Rfam family "Bacterial small subunit ribosomal RNA", at positions 507 to 808 of the family's 1533-position model. The record is from RNAcentral.